GACGAACGCUGGCGGCGUGCCUAACACAUGCAAGUCGAACGGAAGUAAGUGCUUCGGUAUUUACUUUAGUGGCGAACGGGUGAGUAACGCGUGAGGAACCUGCCUUUCAGUGGGGGACAACAGUUGGAAACGACUGCUAAUACCGCAUGACGCUUCUUAGGGGCAUCCCUGAGAAGUCAAAGCUUUAUGUGCUGAAAGAUGGAUUCGCGUCUGAUUAGCUAGUUGGUGAGGUAACGGCCCACCAAGGCGACGAUCAGUAGCCGGACUGAGAGGAUGAACGGCCACAUUGGGACUGAGAUACGGCCCAG
RNAcentral lists this ribosomal RNA (308 nucleotides) under uncultured bacterium. RNAcentral's name for it is "bacterial SSU rRNA". It matches the Rfam family "Bacterial small subunit ribosomal RNA", at positions 28 to 334 of the family's 1533-position model. The record is from RNAcentral.